GUUAGCUUCGGCAGUGCAUAUACGAAAAUUGGAACUGUACAGAGAAGGUUAGCAUGGCCCCUGUGCGAGGGUGACAUGCAAAUUCCUGAAGCCUUCCAUCCAAAA
This 105-nucleotide small nuclear RNA is filed under the name Nestor notabilis (Kea). Lineage: Eukaryota; Metazoa; Chordata; Aves; Psittaciformes; Psittacidae. The record is from RNAcentral.